AGUGAACGCUGGCGGCGUGCUUAACACAUGCAAGUCGAACGAGAACGGAUUAUAGCUUGCUAUAAUUGUCAGCUAAGUGGCGCACGGGUGAGUAAUGUAUAGGUAAUAUGCCUCUUACUAAGGGAUAACAAUUGGAAACGAUUGCUAAUACCUUAUAUUCCUUUUUAUCAAAAGAUAAAAAGGGAAAGAUUUAUUGGUAAGAGAUUAGCCUGUAUUGUAUCAGUUAGUUGGUGGGAUAAUGGCCUACCAAGACGAUGACGCAUAACUGGUUUGAGAGGAUGAUCAGUCACACUGGAACUGAGACACGGUCCAGACUCCUACGGGAGGCAGCAGUGGGGAAUAUUGCACAAUGGACGAAAGUCUGAUGCAGCAACGCCGCGUGGAGGAUGACACAUUUCGGUGCGUAAACUCCUUUUAUAUAAGAAGAUAAUGACGGUAUUAUAUGAAUAAGCACCGGCUAACUCCGUGCCAGCAGCCGCCGUAA
This 484-nucleotide ribosomal RNA is filed under the name uncultured bacterium. Its description in RNAcentral is "partial 16S ribosomal RNA". It matches the Rfam family "Bacterial small subunit ribosomal RNA", at positions 29 to 523 of the family's 1533-position model. The record is from RNAcentral.